AGUGAACGCUGGCGGUAGGCCUAACACAUGCAAGUCGAACGGCAGCACAGUAAGAGCUUGCUCUUACGGGUGGCGAGUGGCGGACGGGUGAGGAAUACAUCGGAAUCUACUUUUUCGUGGGGGAUAACGUAGGGAAACUUACGCUAAUACCGCAUACGACCUACGGGUGAAAGCAGGGGAUCUUCGGACCUUGCGCGAUUGAAUGAGCCGAUGUCGGAUUAGCUAGUUGGCGGGGUAAAGGCCCACCAAGGCGACGAUCCGUAGCUGGUCUGAGAGGAUGAUCAGCCCCACUGCAACUGAGACACGGUCCAGACUCCUACGGGCGGCAGCAGUGGGGAAUAUUGGACGAUGGGCGCAAGCCUGAUCCAGCCAUACCGCGUGGGUGAAGAAGGCCUUCGGGUUGUAAAGCCCUUUUGUUGGGAAAGAAAAGCAGCAGGUUAAUACCCCGCUGUUCUGACGGUACCCAAAGAAUAAGCACCGGCUAACUUCGUG
Molecule: ribosomal RNA, 492 nt
Filed under: uncultured bacterium
Lineage: Bacteria
Description: partial 16S ribosomal RNA
Rfam family: Bacterial small subunit ribosomal RNA
Source: RNAcentral